Molecule: ribosomal RNA, 254 nt
Filed under: uncultured bacterium
Lineage: Bacteria
Description: partial 16S ribosomal RNA
Rfam family: Bacterial small subunit ribosomal RNA
Source: RNAcentral
UACGGGGGGGUGCGAGCGUUAAUCGGAAUAACUGGGCGUAAGGGGCACGCAGGCGGACUUUUAAGUGAGGUGUGAAAUUCCCGGGCUUGACCUGGGAAUUGCAUUUCAUACUGGGAGUCUAGAGUACUUUAGGGAGGGGUAGAAUUCCACGUGUAGCGGUGAAAUGCGUAGAGAUGUGGAGGAAUACCGAAGGCGAAGGCAGCCCCUUGGGAAUGUACUGACGCUCAUGUGCGAAAGCGUGGGGAGCAAACAGG